This 416-nucleotide ribosomal RNA is filed under the name Bradyrhizobium sp. Its description in RNAcentral is "bacterial SSU rRNA". It matches the Rfam family "Bacterial small subunit ribosomal RNA", at positions 123 to 573 of the family's 1533-position model. The record is from RNAcentral. Lineage: Bacteria; Pseudomonadati; Pseudomonadota; Alphaproteobacteria; Hyphomicrobiales; Nitrobacteraceae.
AACGUACCUUUUGGUUCGGAACAACACAGGGAAACUUGUGCUAAUACCGGAUAAGCCCUUACGGGGAAAGAUUUAUCGCCGAAAGAUCGGCCCGCGUCUGAUUAGCUAGUUGGUGAGGUAAUGGCUCACCAAGGCGACGAUCAGUAGCUGGUCUGAGAGGAUGAUCAGCCACAUUGGGACUGAGACACGGCCCAAACUCCUACGGGAGGCAGCAGUGGGGAAUAUUGGACAAUGGGGGCAACCCUGAUCCAGCCAUGCCGCGUGAGUGAUGAAGGCCCUAGGGUUGUAAAGCUCUUUUGUGCGGGAAGAUAAUGACGGUACCGCAAGAAUAAGCCCCGGCUAACUUCGUGCCAGCAGCCGCGGUAAUACGAAGGGGGCUAGCGUUGCUCGGAAUCACUGGGCGUAAAGGGUGCGUA